This is a long non-coding RNA of Stegostoma tigrinum, 1078 nucleotides long. RefSeq lists it as uncharacterized. Lineage: Eukaryota; Metazoa; Chordata; Chondrichthyes; Orectolobiformes; Stegostomatidae. The transcript has 3 exons. The record is from RefSeq and is a predicted model, not a curated record.
CAAAUAAACGUGCAGGUUUUCAUCGCUUAAGAAACAAAAUAUCUUGAACACUGCCCUAUAGCCAUUAAAACAAAGGCCAUUGCUCAUAUGCAAGUAUAUCCAGCAGAACCAGGGUACAGCGUAUCAAAUGUCGGUGACAUUUACUUUCUUUGACCAUUCUCUAGUAUUAAAAUAUUUAAUCAAUGACUAGACUGUCAUGUACUUCAUCAUUUGAGCAAGGCAUCGUGUUCAAAAGGAAUAAUCCAAUCCAGUUGGCAUUGUUGGUGUUCAUUUGUAUAGUUGCAUUGGUUCUGCAUGAAUCAAUGUUUUCAUAAGCAUUUCAUUACAUAGUAAUGUCUUGUAGCUUAACUCCAGGGAUGUAAAAUAAAACUAAAGCAACGAUUGGGAAACCUCCCUGAAUAUCGACUACUUCUUGGAUCUGAACUCUGGAUUAUGAACAGGCUCUUUGAUUCCGUAUUCCACAGGUCUGCUAGACACAUGUAUCGGAUCUUGCAGUUGGUUGCCUGUAUCUGCAUGACACACAUUACUGACGACAUAUUUAGCUGAGGAGAAAAUUAUGAUCGCUUUGCUACCUUUGAUGCCAGUCAGAGUGAAUGGGAACUUGGAUUUGCAGCUGACUACUAACCCUCAGAUGUCGGGCAUAAUUGACUACACGUACAUGGUGAUUAAGUUUCCCUCGCGUAAAGGCUUCUAUUCCAGCAAAGUACAACUGAUACGUAAUCAUGAAAGAUCUUUCUGCAGAUAAGCCGAUCCCCUGACAUCUGGACCCAGAGCUACAUGUUGAAAAUGGGUCCUCCAGACAGCUUCUGCCUCGACUCACAAAUUCUACCUUUGCUCACUUGGGCUGUACAUCAUUCGCUAUCAUAUAAGUUUAGAUCCCAGUGAACCCUGGGAUUUUAUCAUUUAUAGUGUCACUGUUGCAUCCACCAGAACAAUUUGCGGCACUUUGGGGGACUCACUGUCACCUGUCCUUAACUGUAUGUGCCCACAUCACUAAUACCAGGUGGGGGAGGACAUCAUUUUCGGCCGAAGAUUAAUUUGACCAUGAUAAAGAAUAAAGGCACGUUUACAUGUUAAU